This 240-nucleotide ribosomal RNA is filed under the name uncultured bacterium. RNAcentral's name for it is "partial 16S ribosomal RNA". It matches the Rfam family "Bacterial small subunit ribosomal RNA", at positions 524 to 755 of the family's 1533-position model. The record is from RNAcentral.
UACGUAGGUGCGAGCGUUAAUCGGAAUUACUGGGCGUAAAGCGUGCGCAGGCGGUUCGGAAAGAAAGAUGUGAAAUCCCACGAGCUUAACUUUAGGUAACGUAGCAUUUUUAAACUUACCGGGCGUAGAGUGUGUCAGAGGGAGGUGGAAUUCCGCGUGUAGCAGUGAAAUAGCGUAGAUAUGCGGAGGAACACCGAUGGCGAAGGCAGCCUCCUGGGAUAACACUGACGCUCAUGCACG